GCUCGUUGUUAGAGACCGUGUGCGUCCGUGUUUAAAAAAUAAAUAAAAACGUCAGGCUGUGGUUCACUGCGCUGGAUUGGUUUUCAUGUGCGCUGAAAGUGUGUGCAAUUGCGCAGUGGCGCAGCUUAGAGGAUUCUCUCAGGCGCUCCCUUCAUGACCAGAAUAUGACCAGCAGGAUUGUCCUCUGCUUUGUGGAUGGAGAGCUUCAAGAGAGGAUAGGGGGAGAGAGAACGGCAAUUUCAGGGACAGCAGAAAUCGAAAUCCUGCACUCAAGUCCAUCAAGGAGAUGGAAAAAAAGGCUUUCCCUCAUGAUACUUCUGACUGUAACAAGUGAUGAUGGCAUACUUGUCAUCAGAUGGAGGGAUAACAAAGCGGUCACCCUGUGGUUGAGCCGACGUCCUCAAUCAUCAGGUACUGCAGUGAGACCAAAAAGGAGGAGCAUGCGACCUGUUCAUCGGUCAUCAGGGGUUCUAAUGCCAACAAUUUGGGGGGGGCAUUAAUGAGAAUGACAUGCUGUGAUAUUAUACCAGCAGAAAAGUCAUACAGAACCACCAUUCUGCACAGCCAAGGAGUUGAACAGGAAAGGGUUAAAAAAAAAAAAAAAAAAAACUCCAAGAAGCCCAAAAUUUGCAUCUGUGUACACAAACAAAUGCAAAUAUAAUUGAUGUCUUUAUCGCAAAGUCUUGGGCAAUUGGCUCUCGGGGUGAAAGGCAGACUGAUGAAAGAUUUCGGAUCCAGGUGUUGAACAGAGUCAUCUUCAUCAAUUGAAAUCCUCACUACCAGUUCGGAUGUACU
Syngnathoides biaculeatus (alligator pipefish) is the source of this 795-nucleotide long non-coding RNA. RefSeq lists it as uncharacterized. The record is from RefSeq and is a predicted model, not a curated record. The transcript has 3 exons. NCBI's taxonomy places the organism in Eukaryota, Metazoa, Chordata, Actinopteri, Syngnathiformes, Syngnathidae.